GACGAACGCUGGCGGCGUGCUUAACACAUGCAAGUCGAACGGAAAGGCCUGCUUUCCCUUGUGGAUUGCGGGUACUCGAGUGGCGAACGGGUGAGUAACACGUGAGUGAUCUGCCCCCAACUUGGGUAUAAGCCUGGGAAACUGGGUCUAAUUCCCGAUAGGACUGCAGGGUGGUGCCUGUGGUGGAAAACGUUUUUCUAGUGGUUGGGGAUGAGCUCGCGGCCUAUCGGCUUGGUGGUGGGGUAAUGUCCUACCACGGCGGCGACGGGUAGCCGGAGUGAGAGGGUGGACGGCAAAAUUGGGACUGGGACACGGCCCAGACUCCUACGGGAGGCAGCAGUGGGGAAUAUUUCAGAGUGGGCGGAAGCCUGAAGCAGCGACGCCGCGUGGGGGAUGACGGGCUUCGGGUUGUAAACUCCUUGCGACCGCGAGGAAGCCACGUGGUUGGAAGGGUGGUGACGGUAGUGGUAGAAGAAGCACCGGCUAACUACGUG
Molecule: ribosomal RNA, 494 nt
Filed under: uncultured bacterium
Lineage: Bacteria
Description: partial 16S ribosomal RNA
Rfam family: Bacterial small subunit ribosomal RNA
Source: RNAcentral